GCUGAGACCCAGGCUAGAUGGCAGCCAAGGAGAAGAGAAAACAGGGUUAUGCGAAUGCACUUCUUAUCAUCUCAGUUUGGAUUUGGUACACAGACAAGCCUGCAGCUGGAGGCCUCCACAUCCCUGAGGAAGGGCGAGCCUUGCUUUAAGGACCUGUACUUUUCUUCACCUC
Molecule: long non-coding RNA, 172 nt
Filed under: Callithrix jacchus (white-tufted-ear marmoset)
Lineage: Eukaryota; Metazoa; Chordata; Mammalia; Primates; Cebidae
Description: lncRNA (ENSCJAG00000083373.1)
Source: RNAcentral